AUUGAACGCUGGCGGCAGGCCUAACACAUGCAAGUCGGGCGGUAGCACAGAGAGCUUGCUCCCGGGUGACGAGCGGCGGACGGGUGAGUAAUGUCUGGGAAACUGCCUGAUGGAGGGGGAUAACUACUGGAAACGGUAGCUAAUACCGCAUAACGUCGCAAGACCAAAGAGGGGGACCUUCGGGCCUCUUGCCAUCAGAUGUGCCCAGAUGGGAUUAGCUAGUAGGUGGGGUAAUGGCUCACCUAGGCGACGAUCCCUAGCUGGUCUGAGAGGAUGACCAGCCACACUGGAACUGAGACACGGUCCAGACUCCUACGGGAGGCAGCAGUGGGGAAUAUUGCACAAUGGGCGCAAGCCUGAUGCAGCCAUGCCGGGUGUAUGAAGAAGGCCUUCGGGUUGUAAAGUACUUUCAGCGAGGAGGAAGGCAUUGUGGUUAAUAACCACAGUGAUUGACGUUACUCGCAGAAGAAGCACCGGCUAACUCCGUGCCAGCCGCCGCUGUAA
RNAcentral lists this ribosomal RNA (504 nucleotides) under uncultured bacterium. RNAcentral's name for it is "partial 16S ribosomal RNA". It matches the Rfam family "Bacterial small subunit ribosomal RNA", at positions 30 to 523 of the family's 1533-position model. The record is from RNAcentral.